GGCAACUUGGCCGAGCGGUUAAGGCGCUAGAAUCAGGUCAUAGAGAUCAUCUAGUCCGAAAGGGCGUGAGUUCGAAUCUCACAGUUGUCA
This is a non-coding RNA of Mucidula mucida, 90 nucleotides long. The record is from the annotation of a GenBank genome assembly. Lineage: Eukaryota; Fungi; Basidiomycota; Agaricomycetes; Agaricales; Physalacriaceae.